CAGCCGCCACGGGAAUACGAAGGGUGCAAGCGUUACUCGGAAUUACUGGGCGUAAAGCGUGCGUAGGUGGUGGUUUAAGUCCGUUGUGAAAGCCCUGGGCUCAACCUGGGAAUUGCAGCGGAUACUGGGUCACUAGAGUGUGGUAGAGGAUAGUGGAAUUUCCGGUGUAGCAGUGAAAUGCGUAGAGAUCGGAAGGAACAUCUGUGGCGAAGGCGACUAUCUGGGCCAACACUGACACUGAGGCACGAAAGCGUGGGGAGCAAACAGGAUUAGAUACCCGAGUAGUCCCUGUCUCUUAUAC
Molecule: ribosomal RNA, 301 nt
Filed under: uncultured bacterium
Lineage: Bacteria
Description: partial 16S ribosomal RNA
Rfam family: Bacterial small subunit ribosomal RNA
Source: RNAcentral